This 1033-nucleotide ribosomal RNA is filed under the name Staphylococcus aureus F74035. Its description in RNAcentral is "bacterial SSU rRNA". It matches the Rfam family "Bacterial small subunit ribosomal RNA", at positions 8 to 1022 of the family's 1533-position model. Lineage: Bacteria; Bacillati; Bacillota; Bacilli; Caryophanales; Staphylococcaceae. The record is from RNAcentral.
AGAGUUUGAUCCUGGCUCAGGAUGAACGCUGGCGGCGUGCCUAAUACAUGCAAGUCGAGCGAACGGACGAGAAGCUUGCUUUUCUGAUGUUAGCGGCGGACGGGUGAGUAACACGUGGAUAACCUACCUAUAAGACUGGGAUAACUUCGGGAAACCGGAGCUAAUACCGGAUAAUAUUUUGAACCGCAUGGUUCAAAAGUGAAAGACGGUCUUGCUGUCACUUAUAGAUGGAUCCGCGCUGCAUUAGCUAGUUGGUAAGGUAACGGCUUACCAAGGCAACGAUGCAUAGCCGACCUGAGAGGGUGAUCGGCCACACUGGAACUGAGACACGGUCCAGACUCCUACGGGAGGCAGCAGUAGGGAAUCUUCCGCAAUGGGCGAAAGCCUGACGGAGCAACGCCGCGUGAGUGAUGAAGGUCUUCGGAUCGUAAAACUCUGUUAUUAGGGAAGAACAUAUGUGUAAGUAACUGUGCACAUCUUGACGGUACCUAAUCAGAAAGCCACGGCUAACUACGUGCCAGCAGCCGCGGUAAUACGUAGGUGGCAAGCGUUAUCCGGAAUUAUUGGGCGUAAAGCGCGCGUAGGCGGUUUUUUAAGUCUGAUGUGAAAGCCCACGGCUCAACCGUGGAGGGUCAUUGGAAACUGGAAAACUUGAGUGCAGAAGAGGAAAGUGGAAUUCCAUGUGUAGCGGUGAAAUGCGCAGAGAUAUGGAGGAACACCAGUGGCGAAGGCGACUUUCUGGUCUGUAACUGACGCUGAUGUGCGAAAGCGUGGGGAUCAAACAGGAUUAGAUACCCUGGUAGUCCACGCCGUAAACGAUGAGUGCUAAGUGUUAGGGGGUUUCCGCCCCUUAGUGCUGCAGCUAACGCAUUAAGCACUCCGCCUGGGGAGUACGACCGCAAGGUUGAAACUCAAAGGAAUUGACGGGGACCCGCACAAGCGGUGGAGCAUGUGGUUUAAUUCGAAGCAACGCGAAGAACCUUACCAAAUCUUGACAUCCUUUGACAACUCUAGAGAUAGAGCCUUCCCCUUC